This 924-nucleotide long non-coding RNA is filed under the name Triticum aestivum (bread wheat). RNAcentral's name for it is "long non-coding RNA (TAES_LNC019907)". The record is from RNAcentral. Lineage: Eukaryota; Viridiplantae; Streptophyta; Magnoliopsida; Poales; Poaceae.
AGGUCCGUAUGAUUUGAAAUACUUGCACACAAACCGCUCGAAAGCGUUCCUGGAAAUCUCAGCCCAAAAAAGGACGUUUAGUAAUUCUAAAAGGGACUACAGGAUGAAAAACAAUAGUUUUGGCAGUUAAAGUUUGAGAUUCGAUGGUGCCGUAGAUCCGUUUGGUCAUCAGGUGUAACGAGCCACACACAUGUCUAGCUAGAGUAGUGUGCUAGGCUCAGACUAGAGAAGAAACGGGGAACAAAGUGAUGAAAGAAUGAUCAUACCGAGGGAAUUCACUCAGAACUUACAAGAAUGAUAACGUGCUCCGACUGGAGCGCUUUAGUAACUGCUGGAAGGCUCUAGGCGAAUAAAGAUGGAAUGACUUCUAAUUUUUAGGUCCGUAUGAUUUGAAAUACUUGCACACAAACCACGCAAAACCGUUCCUAGAAAUCUCGGUCGAAAAAAGGACGUUUAGUAAUUCUAAAAGGGACUACAGGAUGAAAAACAAUAGUUUUGGCAGUUAAAGUUUGAGAUUCGAUGGUGCCGUAGAUCCGUUUGGUCAUCAGGUGUUACGAGCCACACCCAUGUCUAGCUAGAGUAGUGUGCUAGGUUCAGACUAGAGAAGAAACGGGGAACAAAGUGAUUAAAGAAUGAUCAUACCGAGGGAAUUCACUCAGAACUAACAAGAAUGAUAACGUGCUCCGACUGGAGCGGUUUAGGAACUGCUGGAAGGCUCUAGGGGAAUAAAGAUGGAAUGACUUCUAAUUUUUACGUCCGUAUGAUUUGAAAUACAUGCACACAAACCACGCAAAAGCGUUCCUGGAAAUCUCAGCCUAAAAAAGGACGUUUAGUAAUUCUAAAAGGGACUACAGGAUGAAAAAUAAUAGUUUGGGCAGUUAAAAUUUGAGAUUCGACGCUGCCGUAGAUCCGUUUGGUCAUCAG